AAUCUGGGGCUGUUCGGUCGUCGCUGCCGGGAGACCGAACUGCCCGAAGAGACCGGCCAUUCUUCCCCAGCGCACGGAUUAUCUCAACGUUUCUCUAGAUUCCCCUUCUUAUCUCACUUCUGUUCUUGUUGACCUAGCCAACAGCGAGGAGGGGACAUGCCGUAGCGCCGCCACGGGAGCACAUCUAUCAGCCUGCCUCUCCAUCCCUGGUCGCCGGCCACACCGCAGCGCUGCCAGCCAACCGUCGACCUGGCCGCCGGCAGCGAGCCGCGCCACCUGGUCGCGACCCUGCCGGAUCUCCGACCUUGGGCGCUGCUGCCGGACCUCCGUCACAGGCCACACCACCACGCAGAUGCAGCUCUGCCCGUGGCUCCUCUUCUCCUAUGUUUGCAAUAAUUGGAGGCGAUGGCAUCUGCUCUGCAAAGAUCAUCCAGUUCCUGCCCAUGUUAUAUACACACAAUUAACCAUGUAAUUUAUUUACUUUGGCUGCUGCCACAAUCAACCAUGUUACAUAUGCAUAUAUGCUUCAUCGACAGAGUUGGUUCAAGAGUUCGGUGAAAAAGCACGAGAGGGAAGUGCAAGGCCGAUGGUUCUGCUGCCGAUGCAUCCGCGGCGUUGGGCAAGUCAAGCAAGGUUGCUUGAUGAAUGGUUCACUUCCCUGCAACUUCUAUUAUCUAUGUGCACUUGUCAACUAUUAUUUGUCAAGUUUGUUUGAGAAUGUGAGAUUGAAACUUAA
Lolium rigidum is the source of this 736-nucleotide long non-coding RNA. RefSeq lists it as uncharacterized. The record is from RefSeq and is a predicted model, not a curated record. NCBI's taxonomy places the organism in Eukaryota, Viridiplantae, Streptophyta, Magnoliopsida, Poales, Poaceae. The transcript is spliced from 2 exons.